This 403-nucleotide ribosomal RNA is filed under the name uncultured Gymnodinium. RNAcentral's name for it is "partial small subunit ribosomal RNA". It matches the Rfam family "Eukaryotic small subunit ribosomal RNA", at positions 30 to 432 of the family's 1831-position model. The record is from RNAcentral. Lineage: Eukaryota; Dinophyceae; Gymnodiniales.
GCUUGUCUCAAAGAUUAAGCCAUGCAUGUCUCAGUAUAAGCUUUUACACGGCGAAACUGCGAAUGGCUCAUUAAAACAGUUAUCGUUUCUUUGGUGGUUAUUGAUUACAUGGAUAACCGUGGUAAUUCUAGAGCUAAUACAUGCGCCCAGACCCAACUUUUAGGAAGGGUUGUAUUUAUUAGGUACAGAACCAAUGCAAGCUCCGCUUGACCUUUUGGUGAUUCAUGGUAACCGAUCGAAUCGCAUGGCGUAAGCCGGCGAUAAAUCAUUCAAGUUUCUGACCUAUCAGCUUCCGACGGUAGGGUAUUGGCCUACCGUGGCUAUGACGGGUAACGGGGAAUUAGGGUUCGAUUCCGGAGAGGGAGCCUGAGAAACGGCUACCACAUCUAAGGAAGGCAGCAGG